This 268-nucleotide unclassified non-coding RNA is filed under the name air metagenome. RNAcentral's name for it is "partial contains small subunit ribosomal RNA, internal transcribed spacer 1, and 5.8S ribosomal RNA". The stretch from base 1 to 46 matches the Rfam family "Eukaryotic small subunit ribosomal RNA", at positions 1786 to 1831 of the family's 1831-position model. The record is from RNAcentral.
AAGUCGUAACAAGGUUUCCGUAGGUGAACCUGCGGAAGGAUCAUUACAGUAAAGAAAGGUCGCGCGCAGUUGCUGGCCCUCCGGGGCAAGUGCACGCCGUGUCCGUAUCCUUCUUACACCCCUGUGCACCUUUGCGUGGGGCGCCGCUGGCCUCUCUGGCUUUCGGUGCGCCGCGUCUUCUUACACACACCACGUAUGUCUUCAGAAUGUCUACUUGCGAUAAAAAGCAAAUGUAAUACAACUUUCAACAACGGAUCUCUUGGCUCUC